GUUCAUCCACCUCCUUUGUACUCAUCUUCCCUCGGAACAUGGCAGAAGCAGUGAGAUAGCGGCCAUGUCGGGGGUCAGCGGCACACAUCAUGUUCUUAGAGUCCCACAUCUGCUGGGUGAGUUCUGGAACGGUCAAGGCUCGGUACUGCUGCGAUCCCCUGGAGGUCAGGGGCGCGAAUCCAACCAUGAAGAAGUGGAGGCGG
Molecule: unclassified non-coding RNA, 203 nt
Filed under: Hevea brasiliensis (rubber tree)
Lineage: Eukaryota; Viridiplantae; Streptophyta; Magnoliopsida; Malpighiales; Euphorbiaceae
Source: RNAcentral